AUUGAACGCUGGCGGCAUACCUUACACAUGCAAGUCGAACGGUAACAGGUCUUCGGAUGCUGACGAGUGGCGAACGGGUGAGUAAUACAUCGGAACGUGCCUAGUAGUGGGGGAUAACUACUCGAAAGAGUGGCUAAUACCGCAUGAGAUCUACGGAUGAAAGCAGGGGAUCGAAAGACCUUGUGCUACUAGAGCGGCAGAUGGCAGAUUAGGUAGUUGGUGGGAUAAAAGCUUACCAAGCCGACGAUCUGUAGCUGGUCUGAGAGGACGAUCAGCCACACUGGGACUGAGACACGGCCCAGACUCCUACGGGAGGCAGCAGUGGGGAAUUUUGGACAAUGGGCGAAAGCCUGAUCCAGCAAUGCCGCGUGCAGGAUGAAGGCCUUCGGGUUGUAAACUGCUUUUGUACGGAACGAAAAGCCCCGGGUUAAUACCCUGGGGUCAUGACGGUACCGUAAGAAUAAGCACCGGCUAACUACGUGCCAGCCGCCGCCGUAA
RNAcentral lists this ribosomal RNA (498 nucleotides) under uncultured bacterium. RNAcentral describes it as "partial 16S ribosomal RNA". It matches the Rfam family "Bacterial small subunit ribosomal RNA", at positions 30 to 523 of the family's 1533-position model. The record is from RNAcentral.